This 675-nucleotide unclassified non-coding RNA is filed under the name Hevea brasiliensis (rubber tree). Lineage: Eukaryota; Viridiplantae; Streptophyta; Magnoliopsida; Malpighiales; Euphorbiaceae. The record is from RNAcentral.
AGAAACCAUGCCUAGAUGGGUUAGAGGGAGGUCAAGAACCAUAACUCCUCCAGAAUCAAAUUAUGUGGAUCUAAGUCCAUCCCCACCUCGCUCGCCUACAGUGCUAGUUAAUUAUACUAGUCAAGAAAAUACAUCAACUUAUCAGCCAAGGAGUCCAAAGGUGAAUACAAAUGUUGAUGAACUUGAUCAAGCAAUGGCUUUAUUGGAAGCUUUUUUAUAUCUCAUCGAAGAUAUUGAAAAGGCUCUAUAGAAGAAGUAGGGAUUAAUGAUGUACUUGUUCAAGAAAGUGUUCCUCUUCUUCUUGUUACUCCUCUUCCUCCUCAGCCUAGCCACAUUGAGGUUUCAUCUCAACUUGAACAAACCAUGCCUAAACGAGUAAGAGGGAGGCCAAGAACUAAGUCUCCUCUAGAAUCAAAGCCACGCCGUGACUGUGGACGGCCACAACUUCUUAAUGAUAUACCUUCUUGGCUGCCUUUGGGUUGGAGGGUUAUAAAAAGGUUUGACGGAAUGGUUUGAGUGUAGGACACACUGAUAAGGUAAUUAAAUUGAUUUUUGAUGCCCUUUCAAUUGCAUGCAUCAAUUUAUAUAUAUGCUACUUUGAAAUUAUGAAACUGAAUUUAAUUAUUUGAAAAUUAUUUUAUAAUUUCUUUUCUUUUCUUUGAAAAUGAACUUCAA